AUCUGUGCUAACCGUCCGAGCAAAACCAAAUUGCGCGAAGUCCACCACUUUUAUUCUCCGAUCCAGAUUGAUAUUCGCCUUCAAGUCCGGAUCGGUCUAGGUCUACUACGACACAGAUCAAUCAUCCAAUCUCCUCUCGCUGAGCGGGAAGGCUGGAAGGCGGCGACGGACUGGGGAGCGGCGGGAAGGCGGAGAUGGAGUGAUGGACAAGGGAGCGGCGGCUUUGCGAGCAGCCAAGGGAGAAGCUGCAAGGCCGCGGCGGGAAGGCUGCAAGUCGUCUGCUAGCAUCUCCUCCGGCCGCCCCUCCAGCCUGCCCACUGGCGGCGCUCAACUCAUCCGGCCACCCAUCUUCUCCUUCACACGGCGAGACUGACCUCUGAGGUAUUUGGGAAUAGCUGAACUUUAGCACCUGCUGCUGGUGUUGUAUCAAGAUGGAAAUCCAGCCAAUCAGCAAUUGAAUUCGACUAUUUGAACUUGCUAGCUGCUGUCGUACAAGAGGUGAAGGGUAGUUUACUGUUUACUGCUUGUGAUGUACUAUGUGUUCACAAAUUGACUUUCAUUCUGUGACGUUCGACACAAUACCACAAUAAAGGUUUGAUGGAUAAAGAAAGUCACUGAUCUGAAAUGUGGAGCCUAGUUGAAGUGACAAAUUCAUUACUAUUAUUUGCUACUCCCUCCGUCCAAAAAUACUUGUCGGAGAAAUGGAUAAAAAUGGAUGUAGGUGUUAGUAUUUUUUUAUUUUAUGUCCAUGUACUUUAUAAUUUGGACAAGAAGAUUUGUAGGUGUGACUGCCCUAAAGUGUCAAUACUUGAUCCCAAAUAUGUUGGUGUUGGUUGUUCUGUUUCCUAAACAUUCUUACACAUGUUAUUGUCAAAAAUAAACAUUCUUA
Triticum aestivum (bread wheat) is the source of this 889-nucleotide long non-coding RNA. RefSeq lists it as uncharacterized. The transcript is spliced from 3 exons. NCBI's taxonomy places the organism in Eukaryota, Viridiplantae, Streptophyta, Magnoliopsida, Poales, Poaceae. The record is from RefSeq and is a predicted model, not a curated record.